Molecule: ribosomal RNA, 354 nt
Filed under: uncultured bacterium
Lineage: Bacteria
Description: partial 16S ribosomal RNA
Rfam family: Bacterial small subunit ribosomal RNA
Source: RNAcentral
CCUACGGGAGGCAGCAGUGAGGAAUAUUGGUCAAUGGGCGCGAGCCUGAACCAGCCAAGUAGCGUGAAGGAUGACUGCCCUACGGGUUGUAAACUUCUUUUAUAAAGGAAUAAAGUGAGGCACGUGUGCCUUUUUGGAUGUACUGUAUGAAUAAGGAUCGGCUAACUCCGUGCCAGCAGCCGCGGUAAUACGGAGGAUCCGAGCGUUAUACGGAUUUAUUGGGGUUAAAGGGAGCGUAGAUGGGUUGUUAAGUCAGUUGUGAACGUUUGCGGCUCAACCGGAAAAUGGCACUUGAUACUGGCAGCCUUGUGUCCAGUUGCGGUCGGCGGCCUUCGUGGUGUAGCGGUUACAUGC